AGAUUGACGCUGGCGGCAGGCCUAACACAUGCAAGUCGAGCGGAAACGAGUUAUCUGAACCUUCGGGGAACGAUAACGGCGUCGAGCGGCGGACGGGUGAGUAAUGCCUAGGAAAUUGCCCUGAUGUGGGGGAUAACCAUUGGAAACGAUGGCUAAUACCGCAUAAUGCCUACGGGCCAAAGAGGGGGACCUUCGGGCCUCUCGCGUCAGGAUAUGCCUAGGUGGGAUUAGCUAGUUGGUGAGGUAAGGGCUCACCAAGGCGACGAUCCCUAGCUGGUCUGAGAGGAUGAUCAGCCACACUGGAACUGAGACACGGUCCAGACUCCUACGGGAGGCAGCAGUGGGGAAUAUUGCACAAUGGGCGCAAGCCUGAUGCAGCCAUGCCGCGUGUGUGAAGAAGGCCUUCGGGUUGUAAAGCACUUUCAGUCGUGAGGAAGGUAGUGUAGUUAAUAGCUGCAUUAUUUGACGUUAGCGACAGAAGAAGCACCGGCUAAU
This 495-nucleotide ribosomal RNA is filed under the name Vibrio campbellii. RNAcentral's name for it is "bacterial SSU rRNA". It matches the Rfam family "Bacterial small subunit ribosomal RNA", at positions 28 to 501 of the family's 1533-position model. The record is from RNAcentral. Lineage: Bacteria; Pseudomonadati; Pseudomonadota; Gammaproteobacteria; Vibrionales; Vibrionaceae.